This 460-nucleotide ribosomal RNA is filed under the name uncultured bacterium. Its description in RNAcentral is "partial 16S ribosomal RNA". It matches the Rfam family "Bacterial small subunit ribosomal RNA", at positions 338 to 795 of the family's 1533-position model. The record is from RNAcentral.
CCUACGGGAGGCAGCAGUGAGGAAUAUUGGUCAAUGGACGAGAGUCUGAACCAGCAAAGUAGCGUGAAGGAUGACUGCCCUAUGGGUUGUAAACUUCUUUUAUAAAGGAAUAAAACGAGGCACGUGUGCCUUUUUGCAUGUACUUUAUGAAUAAGGAUCGGCUAACUCCGUGACAGCAGCCGCGGUAAUACGGAGGAUCCGAGCGUUGUCCGGUUUUAUUGGGUGUAAAGGGAGCGUAGAGGGUUUGUUAAGUCAGUUGUGAAAGUUUGCGGCUCAACCGUAAAAUUGCAAUUGAUACUGGCAGUCUUGAGUACAGUUGAGGUAGGCGGAAUUCGUGGUGUAGCGGUGAAAUGCUUAGAUAUCACGAAGAACCCCGAUUGCGAAGGCAGCUUACUAAACUGUAACUGACGUUGAGGCUCGAAAGUGUGGGUAUCAAACAGGAUUAGAUACCCCGGUAGUC